Molecule: long non-coding RNA, 926 nt
Organism: Ornithorhynchus anatinus (platypus)
Lineage: Eukaryota; Metazoa; Chordata; Mammalia; Monotremata; Ornithorhynchidae
Exons: 3
Source: RefSeq, a predicted model, not a curated record
AGCGGUAGGCGACGGCGCUGAUGCAGCUGUGCGCCCGGGGCACCACGGCCGAGCGGGAGCUCAACGCACCCGCCCCGCACCCCGCGCUCAGCCGGGGAGCGCGGCUGGACAUCGUGCUGGGGGGCCGGACGGACCGAGGGACGUCGACAGGGAAGGACCGAAGCUGGGAGCCGGACACGGAGACACACACGCACACGGAGGCAGCAGGAAUCCACGCUCACGAUUGACGGAGUCCAACUGGAAGGAUUAAGGUGACUGACACCCAAUCUGGGAAAGCUUCCUGAAGGAGGGUCCAGCAUCCCUCCGCUUCCGUUCCUGUUGCCGAGUUCCAUGGCUCGGAAACCGGCGCCUGUGUUCCCGAGGACUCCGGAGGGAAUGUAACUCCUCUGGAGCCAAUGAGGAGGGUCAGGAGUCCCCCACCGAGAGAAAUGCUCAAGGAUUGGCUGAAUUGAGGGAAACUGUUGCAAAAUGGCGCAUGUAACAUCAUCCCAUUUCCCUUGGUGCCCAGAGUCACGACGGUGUGAUGUCACGUGCAUCUUCUUGCCGGGAGUCUGCUAGGUCAGUGCAGUGGUCGCCUUCCUAUCAUUGCUCACUGAAUCCAAACCAAAUGGUGACUACUCCUUGACAUCAUCACUGAGGGACGCUUACUGGGCCUCCCAGUUCUCGCCACUGUUUAUGACAUCACUAAGUAAUUGCCCCUCCCUGAUCCCUUCAGUCGUUGCCCACUCCUUCUAAUAAUUACAUCUUCUUAGCAGACUGGUCCCUGCUCCACUGUGACACCGUAACUGAGGGACUUCUCCCAGACCCAUUGGGACAUCAUCUUGGAGGGACAAUAUAUGUAACAGGGUUUGAUGAGAACCUAAAUGGCUUGCCCAAGGUCACACAGAAGAUUAGUGGUGGAGGUGGGAUUAGAAUCGAGAAGCAGG